CAGAGAAAUAGGAUAAAAGUAAGGGGUGCAACUGAAAUGCAGGUACAAGCAUUUUGGCUCCAAACAAUAUACCUUGGAAAAUAUUUAUUGUGGCUAACAAGGAUGACACCAAGCAACUCAGGAGGGACAUUUCAUUUGAAUUAAAGAUUCACAUCAACAGUGGACAGAAACCAGAGUUUGAACAUCAAAUGCACAAUCACUUGCCAAAUCAAGAGGAACACAAAGAUCAUAUUAUCGAAGAGAACAUGGAUCCAAGAUAUCCAUUGUCCAAGAGCAGAGAACCGGCCAGAGAAGUCAGAAGAGUUUUGUGCACUUCUCUUGAGACUGCAAUUGGGCAAGUCAGCAGAUUCUCUUUGCUAACAAAUGACAAUUCCCAAAAGAUCCAUGUGAUCAUGCCCAUGAUUGCAAACAAAGAAAACUCCAUUUGGCGCUCAUCUUUGAAUGUACUUUUCAUCAGUUGAUAAAGCGUACAUCAAAUUAUUUCUUUUUUCAACUGUUUUGCUUAAUAUAACAUUUCUAAAGAUGGGUUCUAUUGUGGUUCAGUGGAAAAAUGAGAACAGCAUGAGUGGUGUAAAUGAAAAGAAAGUCAUUGGAGUUAGAAGAAGGGACAACAGUUGACAAAUCUACUGGUACAAAUAAACAAUGGUCGAUUGGCCAUUCUACUGGUACAAAUAAACAAUGGUCAAUUGGCCAUUUAUAAAGCAA
Pocillopora damicornis (cauliflower coral) is the source of this 705-nucleotide unclassified non-coding RNA. The record is from RefSeq and is a predicted model, not a curated record. Lineage: Eukaryota; Metazoa; Cnidaria; Anthozoa; Scleractinia; Pocilloporidae.